Long non-coding RNA from Dermacentor silvarum, 634 nucleotides. RefSeq lists it as uncharacterized. Lineage: Eukaryota; Metazoa; Arthropoda; Arachnida; Ixodida; Ixodidae. The record is from RefSeq and is a predicted model, not a curated record. The transcript has 3 exons.
GGGUUUCACGUGGUUGCCUGCGUGAUGGGAGCUGUUGGGUUGGUGGCUAUCUCGGCGGUUAAAUUUGUGGAUACGAAUAUGUAUAAGAAAGAAGCAGUAGCAGAUCUCGCAUGCGCUGGGGUGGAGGUGCUGUGGCUGGGCCAAUGUAGAAAGGACCCUGGCCGUCCAGCAGAGGAGCAGGUGCCACCAGGCGCCCCGAUGACUUCCGUUUCUUCCCUAUGGCCAACUUGGGCCGUUUGAAUGCGAAAGCACCCUCGUCCAGCCAGCGGCCACUCUCUAAGGAUUGGGUUCUUGGUCCUGUCUGAACAGGAUGACGUUAUGGCGAUUGUUCAAUGGAGCAGUGCUGAAGUUGGUGCACACCAAGAAGGAAGCGAACAGUGCAACUGAGGGCACGAAGUGUAGGAAGAAACACAGUAUCGCCUAAUGGCCCCAACUGGAGUUUGUUGCUGUGAUGCAUGUGUUACUCUGCACGAUGACCCAUCUUUUGCAUUGUUCAUUCCUUUUGCGAGAGUUCAGCUUCUCUGGAUGUCAUGCCUAAAGCUGCAGGCAGGCAUGCAUAAAUGUAUUUUGAAGGAUACGGGUUCCCAUCUAGAGAAGGUGGCAUCAUUGCAAGUGUUGACUGCUUACCCUUAUU